GGGGAAUAUUGGACAAUGGGGGCAACCCUGAUCCAGCAAUGCCGCGUGAGUGAUGAAGGCCUUCGGGUUGUAAAGCUCUUUUGGCGGGGACGAUGAUGACGGUACCCGCAGAAUAAGCCCCGGCUAACUUCGUGCCAGCAGCCGCGGUAAUACGAAGGGGGCAAGCGUUGUUCGGAAUUACUGGGCGUAAAGGGCGCGUAGGCGGCUUACCAAGUCAGGCGUGAAAUUCCCGGGCUCAACCUGGGGGCUGCGCUUGAUACUGGUGAGCUUGAAUACGGGAGAGGAUAGUGGAAUUCCCAGUGUAGAGGUGAAAUUCGUAGAUAUUGGGAAGAACACCAGUGGCGAAGGCGGCUAUCUGGCCCGUUAUUGACGCUGAGGCGCGAAAGCGUGGGGAGCAA
Molecule: ribosomal RNA, 398 nt
Filed under: uncultured bacterium
Lineage: Bacteria
Description: bacterial SSU rRNA
Rfam family: Bacterial small subunit ribosomal RNA
Source: RNAcentral